GUUGCUUUGGCUGCCGGUGUUGCGUCUGUCGGUGCGUCCGUCGCACUCUUGCGCCGGUCUAAGUACUUUGACUAUAAUUUUAAACUAUAAUUAAACCGGGUAAUUUUCAGUACGCGUACACACACGCGUACGUCCUCACCGAGAUGUGCGGAAACCUCCUAGUUGUGAUAUCUAGUACGGCGGUUCAGCUUAUGGCGACAAACUCUUAACACGAUUUCAAUAAUGAUAAUAACAGAGCGGCCGUGCGGUGGAGAUUGUGUGGAAUAUUAAUCCAUUAUUCUGGUUGCACCAAAUGGUUUAUGAGACAAUUCAUUAAGUAUACAUAUGUUUCAAUCUUCAUCGGGCCGGCUUUUGCCCGCAAUUAUGGAAGUUACCAGCCGACGGCAAUAAAACUCGGGUCCGGUAGAUAGAGACGGAACGGUAGAGGAUGGAACAUAAACAGGGACGGACUCUCAAAGGUUUUGCUAAUAAUGUAUUUUUUUUUGUUUAUUUAGUGGAAUCAAAGCAUCCUUUGGAUUCAGUCCCGUGUGUAUCGAACCAUGUUUCAGCAAGGUAAAUUGCGGAUCUGUUGCCUAAUCUACAUCUUUUAAUUUCUUGAAGUUUAUCCAAACCCUAGCGUGCGGGAAGCGUCACUUUAUCACGUCAGUUUCAUUUCUCACGGAUCCGAGCCAUUUCGGACAUUUCCGGGAUUUUACCGUACGGGUUUGAGCGCAAUUUUGACGUUUGUCAAUUCUGACGGUCAUGUCAGUGAAUGUAUUCGUGUUAUUUUGCGAAAAUGUACCCAAACACAUAGAAAAAUGUUUUGCAAUUAAAAUCUAAUGGACUAGUUGGUGCCCGAUGCGUUCCUGUAUGUACAUACCUUAAAUUAUGCAAGUGCCAUGAAACGGGAAGGCAUGAAAAGCUCUUUUGCCUAGAAGAGAAAAGUGGAUCUUGAUAUAUGCAGUGCAGAUUUGAUGAUUUUGAUAUAUCUAGCAGCACAAAAAUUUGCGAAAAACACUGAAAAAUCUAGGAUAAUCAGGGUUGAAACCUACCAAACCAAGGAAGGAAUUUUUGCUGAAUUUCCACUUAAGAGGCCAAAACUGGUAAACAAAGAGCUUCAGAAAUUAGAGUCAUUCUUCAAAA
Cylas formicarius (sweet potato weevil) is the source of this 1122-nucleotide long non-coding RNA. RefSeq lists it as uncharacterized. Lineage: Eukaryota; Metazoa; Arthropoda; Insecta; Coleoptera; Brentidae. The record is from RefSeq and is a predicted model, not a curated record. The transcript is spliced from 5 exons.